RNAcentral lists this ribosomal RNA (253 nucleotides) under uncultured bacterium. RNAcentral describes it as "partial 16S ribosomal RNA". It matches the Rfam family "Bacterial small subunit ribosomal RNA", at positions 524 to 776 of the family's 1533-position model. The record is from RNAcentral.
UACAGAGGCCUCGAGCGUUAGGCGGAAUCACUGGGCUUAAAGCGUGUGUAGGCGGACCCCUAAGUACCUUGUGAAAUCCCACGGCUCACCCGUGGAACGGCUGGGUAUACUGGGUGUCUUGAGCCACUCAGGGGCGAGCGGAACAAAUGGUGGAGCGGUGAAAUGCGUAGAUAUCAUUUGGAACGCCAAUGGUGAAAACAGCUCGCUGGGGGUGUGCUGACGCUGAGACACGAAAGCCAGGGGAGCGAACGGG